RNAcentral lists this ribosomal RNA (253 nucleotides) under uncultured bacterium. RNAcentral describes it as "partial 16S ribosomal RNA". It matches the Rfam family "Bacterial small subunit ribosomal RNA", at positions 524 to 776 of the family's 1533-position model. The record is from RNAcentral.
UACGGAGGGUGCAAGCGUUGUUCGGAAUUAUUGGGCGUAAAGGGCGUGUAGGCGGUUCGUUAAGUCUGAUGUGAAAGCCCCGGGCUCAACCUGGGAAGUGCAUCCGAUACUGGCGGGCUUGAAUCCGGGAGAGGGAUGUGGAAUUCCAGGUGUAGCGGUGAAAUGCGUAGAUAUCUGGAGGAACACCGGUGGCGAAGGCGGCAUCCUGGACCGGUAUUGACGCUGAGGCGCGAAAGCUAGGGGAGCAAACGGG